AUGGCAGUGAAUAAAAUCUGACAAUCUUACAAUAAACUCUUGAAUUGCAAAGAACUUGUCUCCAAAUCUAUCAUAUUUUACCUAAAACAAACAUGUAAAUUUGUGUUAGUAAAGGAAAGGCACUCUAGUCAACCCACAAUCAAGAACAAAGGCAUGAAUAAAAAAGGUUGAAACAUUAAAAUAAAUGAAUAAGACUUAUGAACAAUUAAAAUAACCAAUAUACAAUCGUCAAUUCCAGUGUUGUAAUCGGUCCUCUCAUGGUUAAAUAAGACUUAAGAACGAUUAAAAUAACCAAUAUACAAUCAAACUACGCAACAAUUUAGUACCAAAAUCAGACUACGUCAAUUCCAAAUGGAAUUAGGAUUUAAUGAUUACCUUCAUCGCAAAACCAAGUAGAUGCCGACCUGCAAUUUGUGAAAAAAAAUAUAACAUAUUAACAAAACCAUUAACAAUUAAUGAACAUACUAAUUUGAAUAAUAUGUGAGAAUUUCGAAAUCAUACCGUGUUUUGCACAGCAGCGUUGUUGAAUGAGGCGAAUGAGUAAUUAGGUUAAUUAAGGAGUUUAUGUAGUCGGGUCAAAAUCCGGGUAUGGUAAAACAAUAACAAUGAGAGUGAAGUGUCAGCUUCAUGUGGUGGUGGAACCCUAGCCGCCGCCCUGUGCCUUGAACCACAACCAUCAAAAG
RNAcentral lists this long non-coding RNA (683 nucleotides) under Helianthus annuus (common sunflower). The record is from RNAcentral. Lineage: Eukaryota; Viridiplantae; Streptophyta; Magnoliopsida; Asterales; Asteraceae.